This 497-nucleotide ribosomal RNA is filed under the name uncultured bacterium. Its description in RNAcentral is "partial 16S ribosomal RNA". It matches the Rfam family "Bacterial small subunit ribosomal RNA", at positions 28 to 507 of the family's 1533-position model. The record is from RNAcentral.
GAUGAACGCUGGCGGCGUGCCUAAUACAUGCAAGUCGAGCGAACAGACGAGGAGCUUGCUCCUCUGACGUUAGCGGCGGACGGGUGAGUAACACGUGGAUAACCUACCUACAAGACUGGGAUAACUUCGGGAAACCGGAGCUAAUACCGGAUAAUAUAUUGAACCGCAUGGUUCUAUAGUGAAAGACGGUUUUGCUGUCACUUAUAGAUGGAUCCGCGCCGCAUUAGCUAGUUGGUAAGGUAACGGCUUACCAAGGCAACGAUGCGUAGCCGACCUGAGAGGGUGAUCGGCCACACUGGAACUGAGACACGGUCCAGACUCCUACGGGAGGCAGCAGUAGGGAAUCUUCCGCAAUGGGCGAAAGCCUGACGGAGCAACGCCGCGUGAGUGAUGAAGGUCUUCGGAUCGUAAAACUCUGUUAGUAGGGAAGAACAAAUGUGUAAGUAACUAUGCACGUCUUGACGGUACCUAAUCAGAAAGCCACGGCUAACUACGUG